AACGAACGCUGGCGGCGUGCCUAACACAUGCAAGUCGAACGAGAAAUUACGCUUCGGCGUGAGAGUAAAGUGGCGCACGGGUGAGUAACGCGUGGGUAACCUACCCCUCAGGCUGGGAUAACCCCGCGAAAGCGGGGCUAAUACCGGAUAUUGUCCCAGGGGCCCUGGCUCUUGGGAUGAAAGGUGGCCUCUUCUUGAAAGCUGCCGUUGAGGGACGGGCCCGCGUACCAUUAGCUUGUUGGUAGGGUAACGGCCUACCAAGGCGACGAUGGUUAGCUGGUCUGAGAGGAUGAUCAGCCACACUGGAACUGGAACACGGUCCAGACUCCUACGGGUGGCAG
Molecule: ribosomal RNA, 341 nt
Filed under: uncultured Pseudomonadota bacterium
Lineage: Bacteria; Pseudomonadati; Pseudomonadota
Description: bacterial SSU rRNA
Rfam family: Bacterial small subunit ribosomal RNA
Source: RNAcentral